UUAACUGACGCUGAAGCUCGAAGGUGCGGGUAUCAAACAGGAUUAGAUACCCUGGUAGUCCGCACAGUAAACGAUGGAUGCUCGCUGCUGGGCGAUAUACUGUCAGCGGCCAAGAGAAAUCGAUAAAGCAUCCCACCUGGGGAGUACGCCGGCAACGUUGAAACUCAAAGGAAUUGACGGGGGCCCGCACAAGCGGAGGAGCAUGUGGUUUAAUUCGAUGAUACGCGAGGAACCUUACCCGGGCUUGAACUGCAGGAGAACGAUUCAGAGAUGAUGAGGCCCUUCGGGGCUCCUGUGGAGGUGCUGCAUGGUUGUCGUCAGCUCGUGCCGUGAGGUGUCGGGCUUAAAGUGCCAUAACGAGCGCAACCCCUUUUCGUUAGUUGCCAUCAGGUAAUGCUGGGCACUCCUGGUGACACUGCCACCGUAAGGUGUGAGGAAGGUGGGGAUGACGUCAAAUCAGCACGGCCCUUACGUCCGGGGCUACACACGUGUUACAAUGGGAGGUACAGAGAGUCGGAUGUACGCAAGUACAUUCGAAUCAAGAAAGCCAUCCUCAGUUCGGAUUGGGGUCUGCAACCCGACCCCAUGAAGCUGGAUUCG
This 600-nucleotide ribosomal RNA is filed under the name uncultured bacterium. RNAcentral's name for it is "bacterial SSU rRNA". It matches the Rfam family "Bacterial small subunit ribosomal RNA", at positions 736 to 1334 of the family's 1533-position model. The record is from RNAcentral.